Molecule: unclassified non-coding RNA, 307 nt
Filed under: uncultured Galerina
Lineage: Eukaryota; Fungi; Basidiomycota; Agaricomycetes; Agaricales; Cortinariaceae
Description: sequence contains ITS2
Rfam family: 5.8S ribosomal RNA (bases 1-52)
Source: RNAcentral
AACGCACCUUGCGCUCCUUGGUAUUCCGAGGAGCAUGCCUGUUUGAGUGUCAUUAAAUUCUCAACCUUAUCAGUUUUCACAAAUUGGUAAUGGCUUGGACUUGGGGGUUUUUUGCUGGCUUCGUCAAGAGGUCUGCUCCCCUUAAAUGUAUUAGCCGGUACCCGUGUGGAGUCGUCUAUUGGUGUGAUAAUUAUCUACGCCGUGGGCCUUCACUUUAAAUGGAUUGUACUGCUUCUAACCGUCCAUUAAGUCGGACAAAUAAUGACAAUUUGACCUCAAAUCAGGUAGGACUACCCGCUGAACUUAA